This 342-nucleotide ribosomal RNA is filed under the name uncultured Desulfocapsa sp. RNAcentral's name for it is "bacterial SSU rRNA". It matches the Rfam family "Bacterial small subunit ribosomal RNA", at positions 1040 to 1382 of the family's 1533-position model. The record is from RNAcentral. Lineage: Bacteria; Pseudomonadati; Thermodesulfobacteriota; Desulfobulbia; Desulfobulbales; Desulfocapsaceae.
GCUGCAUGGCUGUCGGUCAGCUCGUGUCGUGAGAUGUUGGGUUAAGUCCCGCAACGAGCGCAACCCUCGUCUUUAGUUGCCAUCAUUAAGUUGGGCACUCUAAAGAGACUGCCGGUGUCAAACCGGAGGAAGGUGGGGAUGACGUCAAGUCCUCAUGGCCUUUAUGACCAGGGCUACACACGUACUACAAUGGCAGGUACAAAGGGCAGCCACUUAGCGAUAAGGCGCGAAUCCCAUAAAACCUGUCUCAGUCCGGAUUGGAGUCUGCAACUCGACUCCAUGAAGUUGGAAUCGCUAGUAAUCGCAGAUCAGCACGCUGCGGUGAAUACGUUCCCGGGCCUU